ACGCGUCACACGAGCACAUACAAGCAAACAUGGGCAAAAGUAAGAAAACAGUACACCAAGCAUAGUUAAACAGAGAAAAUAAGCUUGAAAAGAUGAUAUACGCUUUAAAACGAACACGUGGAUAUAAAGAACGCGAAAAACGGAGUUAAGAUGCAAAAGAUAUGAUUAAAACAAGAUCCAGGGACUUUUCUGUGAGAAAAACAAAACUUUCAGGGCCUAUCCGCGAAAACCGAGGGCUUAUACGUAAUUAUGCGUAUAAACCGAGGGUCUGACGCGUAAAAACAACAAACCCGGAUGGCGGGUUGAUUUCUGGAAAGCUC
This 320-nucleotide long non-coding RNA is filed under the name Setaria italica (foxtail millet). Its description in RNAcentral is "long non-coding RNA (SITA_LNC004507)". The record is from RNAcentral. Lineage: Eukaryota; Viridiplantae; Streptophyta; Magnoliopsida; Poales; Poaceae.